Molecule: ribosomal RNA, 451 nt
Filed under: uncultured bacterium
Lineage: Bacteria
Description: partial 16S ribosomal RNA
Rfam family: Bacterial small subunit ribosomal RNA
Source: RNAcentral
GUGGGGAAUUUUGGACAAUGGGCGCAAGCCUGAUCCAGCAAUGCCGCGUGUGUGAAGAAGGCCUUUUGGUUGUAAAGCACUUUAAGCGAGGAGGAGGCUACCGAGAUUAAUACUCUUGGAUAGUGGACGUUACUCGCAGAAUAAGCACCGGCUAACUCUGUGCCAGCAGCCGCGGUAAUACAGAGGGUGCAAGCGUUAAUCGGAUUUACUGGGCGUAAAGCGCGCGUAGGUGGCCAAUUAAGUCAAAUGUGAAAUCCCCGUGCUUAACUUGGGAAUUGCAUUCGAUACUGGUUGGCUAGAGUAUGGGAGAGGAUGGUAGAAUUCCAGGUGUAGCGGUGAAAUGCGUAGAGAUCUGGAGGAAUACCGAUGGCGAAGGCAGCCAUCUGGCCUAAUACUGACACUGAGGUGCGAAAGCAUGGGGAGCAAACAGGAUUAGAUACCCGAGUAGUCC